Pelobates cultripes (western spadefoot toad) is the source of this 452-nucleotide non-coding RNA. The record is from the annotation of a GenBank genome assembly. NCBI's taxonomy places the organism in Eukaryota, Metazoa, Chordata, Amphibia, Anura, Pelobatidae.
GUGUAGAACAUGCUCUCUGGAGACUGUUUGUAACAGUGCUCACAAAAGUAAACAAACAGGAAGCAGCUCCAUUUUUUGGGGCCCCUUACACAGCUCAAUGUCUGGGCCCCCAUGGCCUGACCGUGAUUAUGCCUACAAGGCCCACCCAUAAGUCCACCUACAUGGCCCACGCAUGAGUUCGCUCACAGGGAGUGAAGUGGAGUGUAUGUGUGUAGGGGAUGUGUUGUGUGUUAUUGUAAAGGAUGUAAUGUGUGUGUGUGUGUGUGUGUUCUUAUGGAAUGUGGUGUAUAGGGAUACCAAUUUGUGUAAGGGAUGUAGUGUGAGUGUGUGUAUAGGGGAUGCAGUGUAUGUUUGUGCGUAAGGAAUGCAUUGUGUGAAUCUGUGUUUGUAUGUGUAAGGAAUGCAAGGUCUGUUUCUGUGUAUGUAAUGUAAUGCAGUGUAUGCGUCUUUAA